AGUGAACGCUGGCGGUAGGCCUAACACAUGCAAGUCGAACGGCAGCACAGUAAGAGCUUGCUCUUACGGGUGGCGAGUGGCGGACGGGUGAGGAAUACAUCGGAAUCUACUUUUUCGUGGGGGAUAACGUAGGGAAACUUACGCUAAUACCGCAUACGACCUACGGGUGAAAGCAGGGGAUCUUCGGACCUUGCGCGAUUGAAUGAGCCGAUGUCGGAUUAGCUAGUUGGCGGGGUAAAGGCCCACCAAGGCGACGAUCCGUAGCUGGUCUGAGAGGAUGAUCAGCCACACUGGAACUAAGACACGGUCCAGACGCCUACGGGAGGCAGCAGUGGGGAAUAUUGGACAAUGGGCGCAAGCCUGAUCCAGCCAUACCGCGUGGGUGAAGAAGGCCUUCGGGUUGUAAAGCCCUUUUGUUGGGAAAGAAAAGCAGCAGGUUAAUACCCCGCUGUUCUGACGGUACCCAAAGAAUAAGCACCGGCUAACUUCGUG
Molecule: ribosomal RNA, 492 nt
Filed under: uncultured bacterium
Lineage: Bacteria
Description: partial 16S ribosomal RNA
Rfam family: Bacterial small subunit ribosomal RNA
Source: RNAcentral